This 349-nucleotide transfer-messenger RNA is filed under the name human gut metagenome. It matches the Rfam family "transfer-messenger RNA". Rfam says of the family: Bacterial tmRNA, also known as 10Sa RNA or SsrA, is named for its dual tRNA and mRNA-like properties. Its role is to liberate the mRNA from a stalled ribosome. The record is from RNAcentral.
GGGGGCGUAAUGGUUUCGACGGGGAUUUUGAAGCAUAGAGAGCGAGCCGCAGCGGGUACUGCGUAAAAAACCCAAACUUUAAAAUUAAACGCUAACAAUAAUUUAGCUUACGCUGCCUAAUUAACGGCAGCUGUCCUAACCCGUCUACCGCAAUCGGAUAAAGGGCAUCAUCAUUCGCGGUGAACGUGAAUCCAAAAAGCUUUGAUUGGGUCAUGAAUUUAUGAAGCUACUUGCACUCAGAGUUUGUCUGAGGACUUUGAGUGCGGGGAAUGUCAACCACAGACUACGCUCGUAGCGCUCGGUGUGAAUAGGUUUUCGGACGCGGGUUCAACUCCCGCCGCCUCCACCA